GAUGAACGCUGGCGGCGUGCCUAACACAUGCAAGUCGAGCGAACGGACGCGAAGCUUGCUUCUCUGAUGUUAGCGGCGGACAACUGAGUAACAAGUGGAUAGCCUACCUAUCAGAUUUGGUUAACUACGGGAAACCGGAGCUACUACUGGGUAAUAUUUUGAACCGCUUGGUUCAAGAGUCAAAGACGGUCUUUCUGUCACUUGUAGAUGGAUCCGCGCGGCAUUAGCUAGUUGGUAGGGUAACGGCUUACCAAGGCAACGAGGGAUAGCCGACCUGAGAGGGUGAGCGGCCACACAGGCACUGAGAGACGGUCCAGACUCCUACGGGAGGCAGCAGUAGGGAAUCUUCCGCAAUGGGCGGAAGCAUGACGGAGCAAGGGAGCGUGAGUGAUGAAGGUCUUCGGACGGUAAGACUCUGUUAUUAGGGAGGAACAUAUGUGUAAGUAGCUGGGCACAGCGUGACGGUAACUAGGCAGAGAGCCACGGCUAACUACGGG
RNAcentral lists this ribosomal RNA (497 nucleotides) under uncultured bacterium. Its description in RNAcentral is "partial 16S ribosomal RNA". It matches the Rfam family "Bacterial small subunit ribosomal RNA", at positions 28 to 507 of the family's 1533-position model. The record is from RNAcentral.